CGCCAGACUCCUACGGGAGGCAGCAGUGGGGGAUAUUGCACAAUGGGGGGAACCCUGAUGCAGCGACGCCGCGUGGGUGAAGAAGUAUUUCGGUAUGUAAAGCCCUAUCGGCAGGGAAGAAAUUGGACGGUACCUGACUAAGAAGCCCCGGCUAACUACGUGCCAGCAGCCGCGGUAAUACGUAGGGGGCAAGCGUUAUCCGGAUUCACUGGGUGUAAAGGGAGCGUAGACGGCGACGCAAGUCUGGAGUGAAAGCCCGGGGCCCAACCCCGGGACUGCUCUGGAAACUGCGUCGCUGGAGUACGGGAGGGGCAGGCGGAAUUCCUGGUGUAGCGGUGAAAUGCGUAGAUAUUAGGAGGAACACCAGUGGCGAAGGCGGUCUGCUGGACAGCAACUGACGCUGAGGCGCGAAAGCGUGGGGAGCAAACAGGAUUAGAUACCCGAGUA
This 447-nucleotide ribosomal RNA is filed under the name uncultured bacterium. RNAcentral's name for it is "bacterial SSU rRNA". It matches the Rfam family "Bacterial small subunit ribosomal RNA", at positions 329 to 792 of the family's 1533-position model. The record is from RNAcentral.